RNAcentral lists this small RNA (82 nucleotides) under Erwinia sp. AG740. Its description in RNAcentral is "SraD RNA". It matches the Rfam family "MicA sRNA". Lineage: Bacteria; Pseudomonadati; Pseudomonadota; Gammaproteobacteria; Enterobacterales; Erwiniaceae. The record is from RNAcentral.
UGAAAGACGCGCAUUUAUUAUCAUCAUCCCUAUUAUCAGAGAUGUUUCUUUGGCCACCCGGUGACAAUCGGGUGGCAUUUUC